This 202-nucleotide ribosomal RNA is filed under the name uncultured bacterium. RNAcentral's name for it is "partial 16S ribosomal RNA". It matches the Rfam family "Bacterial small subunit ribosomal RNA", at positions 338 to 537 of the family's 1533-position model. The record is from RNAcentral.
CCUACGGGAGGCAGCAGUGAGGAAUAUUGGACAAUGGGCGCAAGCCUGAUCCAGCCAUGCCGCGUGCAGGAUGAAGCAUCUAUGGUGUGUAAACUGCUUUUAUACGGGAAGAAACCCCGCCUCGUGAGGCGGACUGACGGUACCGUAAGAAUAAGGACCGGCUAACUCCGUGCCAGCAGCCGCGGUAAUACGGAGGGUCCAA